This 468-nucleotide ribosomal RNA is filed under the name uncultured bacterium. RNAcentral's name for it is "partial 16S ribosomal RNA". It matches the Rfam family "Bacterial small subunit ribosomal RNA", at positions 28 to 507 of the family's 1533-position model. The record is from RNAcentral.
GACGAACGCUGGCGGCGUGCUUAAUACAUGCAAGUCGAACGGAAAGGCCCGGCUCUUGUGGGGUGCUCGAGUGGCGAACGGGUGAGUAUCACGUGAGUAACCUGCCCUUGACUUUGGGAUAACUCCAGGAAACUGGGGCUAUUAUACGAUAGGAGAUCCUGCUGCAUGGGGGGGGUGGGAAAGAUUUGGCAGUUGGGGAUGGACGCGUGGCCUAUCAGCUUGUUGGUGGGGUGGUGGCUUACCAAGGCUUUGACGGGUAGCCGGCCUGAGAGGGUGACCGGCCACAUUGGGCCUGGGAUACGGGCCAGACGCCUACGGGAGGCAGCGGUGGGGGAUAUUGCACAAUGGGCCGAAGCCUGAUGCAGCGACGCCGCGUGCGGGAUGACGGCCUUCGGGUUGUAAACCGCUUUCGCCUGUGACGAAGCGUGAGUGACGGUAAUGGGUAAAGAAGCACCGGCUAACUACGUG